RNAcentral lists this long non-coding RNA (1418 nucleotides) under Sus scrofa (pig). RNAcentral describes it as "lncRNA (ENSSSCG00040072054.1)". The record is from RNAcentral. Lineage: Eukaryota; Metazoa; Chordata; Mammalia; Artiodactyla; Suidae.
AAUCCAAAGGCAAAUUCUUAGUUCUCAUUUUAGGCAGUACUUGACAUCUUGACCACUUCCACAUUUUGAAACACUGUCUUCUCUAAGCUUCCAGAACACCUCACUCACUGGUUUCCUCUUACUUAACUGGCAUCUCUUCAGUCUACUUUGCUUUAUCUUCUUCCUCUGACUUCUAAAUAUUAGAGAUGCUCACAUCUUAGUCCCAUGUUUUUUUCUAUCUCUAUUCUCCCUAAAUGGUUUCAUCCAAUCCCAUGGCUGUAAAUAUUAUCUUUGUUUUGAUAAGUCCCAAGAUUAUAAUUCUAACCCUAACUUUUUGAACACUAGACUGAAUAUUCUUUCUGCAUUCUUAUGGAAAACUUAAGGUACAUAAAAAUAAUAUAUUGAACCUCAAUAAGUUUUUCACUCAAGCAUCAACAGUUACUAAAUUAAUAAUAGAUUAAUUAUUCUUAAUAUGGUAGGUGAUUAUUUUUCAUUUUUGAAGUUGACAUAUUCAUAGACCUUUAUUCCAUAUAUUUUGUGUUUUGCUCAAUUAUUUAACUUUUUAUUGGGACUGAUUGUGGAGGUUAUUUUGGGAAGCUUUUGUAUCUUUAUUCAUUAUUGUACGAGUCUGCAUCAAAUCAGUUGCAGGAAAUAGAUCUGGCUCUUUUAAAUAUAUGGAGAUUUAAUGUAGGGAAUUGGUAUUUAGAAAAUUGUUUAAAGUGGUGGAGGAGUAGGCUUUAGCCUAGACUUUCAGAAAUGAGUCCCAGGAUAAUACUACUAAGUUGGGCUGUUAAGGGAACUACUACCACUGUCCCCAUCCAUCAGGAUGAUGGAGAAUCAAAACCACAACUGGGGAGUUGCUGUCAUGGCUCAGUGAUUAACGAAUCUGACUAGGAACCAUGAGGUUGCGAGUUCAAUCCCUGGCCUCGCUUAGUGGGUUAAGGAUCCAGCAUUGCGGUGAACUGUGGUAUAGGUCGCAGAUGUGGCUCGGAUCUGGCAUUGCUGUGGCUGUGGUAUAGGCCGAUGGCUAUAGCUCUGAUUAGACCCCAAACCUGGGAAUCUCCAUAUGCCUUGGGUGUGACCCUCAAAAGACAAAAAGACCAAAAAAAAAAAAAAAAAAAAAAGAAGAAAGAAAAAAGAGACCUAAAAACAUAUAUUAAAAAAAGGUAGGAGUUCCCGUCGUGGCGCAGGGGUUAACGAAUCCGGCUAGGAACCAUGAGGUUUCGGGUUUGGUCCCUGCCCUUGCUCAGUGGGUUAACGAUCCGGCGUUGCCCUGAGCUGUGGUGUAGGUUGCAGAUGCGGCUUGGAUCCCGCGUUGCUGUGGCUCUGGCAUAGGACGGUGGCUGCAGCUCCGAUUCGACCCCUAGCCUGGGAACCUCCAUAUGCCGUGGGAAUGGCCCAAAAAAAUAGCAAAAAGACAAAAAAAGAAAAAAAAAAAA